UCGAGAAUAAUUCGCAAUGGACGAAAGUCUGACGACGCGACGCCGCGUGAGCGAUGAAGGCCUUCGGGUUGUAAAGUCCUGUCGUGGGGGACGAACGCUUCAGACCUCAUACGUCUGGAGUUUGACGGUACCUCAGGAGGAAGCCCCGGCCAACUCCGUGCCAGCAGCCGCGGUAAUACGGGGGGGGCAAGCGUUGUUCGGAAUCACUGGGCGUAAAGGGCGCGUAGGCGGUUCGGUUUGUCAUAUGUGAAAUCCCUCGGCUUAACUGAGGAAGUGCAUAUGAAACGGCCGAACUUGAGUUCGGGAGAGGAGAGCGGAAUUCCCAGUGUAGCAGUGAAAUGCUUAGAUAUUGGGAGGAACACCGGUGGCGAAGGCGGCUCUCUGGACCGACACUGACGCUGAGGCGCGAAAGCUAGGGGAGCAAACGGG
RNAcentral lists this ribosomal RNA (429 nucleotides) under uncultured bacterium. RNAcentral describes it as "bacterial SSU rRNA". It matches the Rfam family "Bacterial small subunit ribosomal RNA", at positions 355 to 776 of the family's 1533-position model. The record is from RNAcentral.